Paramuricea clavata is the source of this 365-nucleotide non-coding RNA. The record is from the annotation of a GenBank genome assembly. NCBI's taxonomy places the organism in Eukaryota, Metazoa, Cnidaria, Anthozoa, Malacalcyonacea, Plexauridae.
UGGGUGCGCAAGCCAUAGCAUGCUUUUAAUUAGGGGUACUAGCUUCACUCACAUUUCCCAGGAUAUAUAUCAUUUACUUUCUAGGUGACUAAAGAGUUGAGAACGCUCACAAGUUGGAUUGAAUACCUGGACAUAAAGUAUAGUUCAUUGUAAACCUUAAGAUCUUGCGGGGAAACUAGACGAACACGCGUGUUUAUGUAUGUAAAUAGUUUUUGUAUUGGUUCUUCUGAGAACGGUAAAAAAUAUAAAAGUAGAAUUUUAUGAGAAUCCCAGACUUGAAAGGUCGGAAUUGUACUCGUAUAUUUCAGUGUGGUAUAUUUGUCAAGUAAUAUAUGAACGAGAGCGAGUGUUUCACCGGGAUAUCC